RNAcentral lists this ribosomal RNA (323 nucleotides) under uncultured bacterium. Its description in RNAcentral is "bacterial SSU rRNA". It matches the Rfam family "Bacterial small subunit ribosomal RNA", at positions 28 to 334 of the family's 1533-position model. The record is from RNAcentral.
GAUGAACGCUGGCGGCGUGCCUAACACAUGCAAGUCGAGCGAGAAAUUUACGAAUGAAAUUUCGAUGGAUUUUGUAAAUGGAAAGCGGCGGACGGGUGAGUAACGCGUAGGUAACCUGCCCCAUACAGAGGGAUAGCCACUGGAAACGGUGAUUAAUACCUCAUAAAACUGAGAAUACACAUGUAUGCUCAGCCAAAGAUUUAUCGGUAUGGGAUGGACCUGCGUCUGAUUAGUUAGUUGGUGAGGUAACGGCUCACCAAGGCGACGAUCAGUAGCCGACCUGAGAGGGUGAUCGGCCACAUUGGAACUGAGACACGGUCCAA